This 73-nucleotide transfer RNA is filed under the name Alligator mississippiensis (American alligator). It matches the Rfam family "tRNA". Rfam says of the family: Transfer RNA (tRNA) molecules are approximately 80 nucleotides in length. Their secondary structure includes four short double-helical elements and three loops (D, anti-codon, and T loops). Further hydrogen bonds mediate the characteristic L-shaped molecular structure. tRNAs have two regions of fundamental functional importance: the anti-codon, which is responsible for specific mRNA codon recognition, and the 3' end, to which the tRNAs corresponding amino acid is attached (by aminoacyl-tRNA synthetases). tRNAs cope with the degeneracy of the genetic code in two manners: having more than one tRNA (with a specific anti-codon) for a particular amino acid; and 'wobble' base-pairing, i.e. permitting non-standard base-pairing at the 3rd anti-codon position. The record is from Rfam by way of RNAcentral. Lineage: Eukaryota; Metazoa; Chordata; Crocodylia; Alligatoridae.
GCCUUACUGGCCUAAUGGAUAAGGCACUGGUCUCCUAAGCCAAGGACUGUGGGUUUAAGUUCCACCUGGGGUG